This 525-nucleotide ribosomal RNA is filed under the name uncultured bacterium. Its description in RNAcentral is "bacterial SSU rRNA". It matches the Rfam family "Bacterial small subunit ribosomal RNA", at positions 355 to 896 of the family's 1533-position model. The record is from RNAcentral.
UGGGGAAUAUUGCACAAUGGGCGCAAGCCUGAUGCAGCAACGCCGCGUGAAGGAUGAAGGCCUUCGGGUUGUAAACUUCUGUCCUAGGGGAAGAAACAAAUGACAUUACCCUUGGAGGAAGCCCCGGCUAACUACGUGCCAGCAGCCGCGGUAAUACGUAGGGGGCGAGCGUUAUCCGGAAUUAUUGGGCGUAAAGAGUGCGUAGGUGGCACCUUAAGCGCAGGGUUUAAGGCAGUGGCUCAACCAUUGUUCGCCUUGCGAACUGGGGUGCUUGAGUGCAGGAGGGGAAAGUGGAAUUCCUAGUGUAGCGGUGAAAUGCGUAGAUAUUAGGAGGAACACCAGUGGCGAAGGCGACUUUCUGGACUGUUACUGACACUGAGGCACGAAAGCGUGGGGAGCAAACAGGAUUAGAUACCCUGGUAGUCCACGCCGUAAACGAUGAGCACUAGGUGUCGGGGUCGCAAGACUUCGGUGCCGCAGUUAACGCAUUAAGUGCUCCGCCUGGGGAGUACGCACGCAAGUGUA